This 538-nucleotide ribosomal RNA is filed under the name uncultured bacterium. RNAcentral describes it as "partial 16S ribosomal RNA". It matches the Rfam family "Bacterial small subunit ribosomal RNA", at positions 356 to 886 of the family's 1533-position model. The record is from RNAcentral.
AGGGAAUCUUCCACAAUGGACGCAAGUCUGAUGGAGCAACGCCGCGUGAGUGAAGAAGGUUUUCGGACCGUAAAGCUCUGUUGUUGGUGAAGAAGGAUAGAGGUAGUAACUGGCCUUUAUUUGACGGUAAUCAACCAGAAAGUCACGGCUAACUACGUGCCAGCAGCCGCGGUAAUCGUAGGUGGCAAGCGUUGUCCGGAUUUAUUGGGCGUAAAGCGAGCGCAGGCGGAAGAAUAAGUCUGAUGUGAAAGCCCUCGGCUUAACCGAGGAAUUGCAUCGGAAACUGUUUUCUUGAGUGCAGAAGAGGAGAGUAGAACUCCAUGUGUAGCGGUGGAAUGCGUAGAUAUAUGGAAGAAUACCAGUGGCGAAGGCGGCUCUCUGGUCUGCAACUGACGCUGAGGCUCGAAAGCAUGGGUAGCGAACAGGAUUAGAUACCCUGGUAGUCCAUGCCGUAAACGAUGAGUGCUAAGUGUUGGGAGGCUUCCGCCUCUCAGUGCUGCAGCUAACGCAUUAAGCACUCCGCCUGGGGGAGUACAAC